This 491-nucleotide ribosomal RNA is filed under the name uncultured bacterium. RNAcentral's name for it is "partial 16S ribosomal RNA". It matches the Rfam family "Bacterial small subunit ribosomal RNA", at positions 30 to 507 of the family's 1533-position model. The record is from RNAcentral.
AUUGAACGCUGGCGGCAUGCUUUACACAUGCAAGUCGAACGGUAACAGGCCUUCGGGUGCUGACGAGUGGCGCACGGGUGAGUAAUGCAUCGGAACGUGCCCAGAGGUGGGGAUAACGCAGCGAAAGCUGUGCUAAUACCGCAUGUGAUCUGAGGAUGAAAGCGGGGGACCAGGCAGCAAUGUUUGGCCUCGCGCCUUUGGAGCGGCCGAUGUCAGAUUAGGUAGUUGGUGGGGUAAAGGCCUACCAAGCCGACGAUCUGUAGCUGGUCUGAGAGGACGACCAGCCACACUGGGACUGAGACACGGCCCAGACUCCUACGGGAGGCAGCAGUGGGGAAUUUUGGACAAUGGGCGCAAGCCUGAUCCAGCAAUGCCGCGUGCGGGAAGAAGGCCUUCGGGUUGUAAACCGCUUUUGUACGGAACGAAAAGGCUCUGGCUAAUACCUGGGGCUGAUGACGGUACCGUAAGAAUAAGCACCGGCUAACUACGUG